GCCGGAGUGGCGGAACGGUUUACGCGCGGCACUCAAAAUGCCGUGUCCUUCGGGACAUGUGGGUUCGAAUCCCACCUCCGGCA
RNAcentral lists this transfer RNA (83 nucleotides) under Actinomycetota bacterium. Its description in RNAcentral is "tRNA-Leu". It matches the Rfam family "tRNA". Rfam says of the family: Transfer RNA (tRNA) molecules are approximately 80 nucleotides in length. Their secondary structure includes four short double-helical elements and three loops (D, anti-codon, and T loops). Lineage: Bacteria; Bacillati; Actinomycetota. The record is from RNAcentral.